CCUACGGGAGGCUGCAGUGGGGAAUAUUGCACAAUGGGGGAAACCCUGAUGCAGCAACGCCGCGUGAGUGAAGAAGUAUUUCGGUAUGUAAAGCUCUAUCAGCAGGGAAGAAAAUGACAGUACCUGACUAAGAAGCCCCGGCUAACUACGUGCCAGCAGCCGCGGGAAUACGUAGGGGGCAAGCGUUAUCCGGAUUUACUGGGUGUAAAGGGAGCGUAGACGGCUGCGCAAGUCAGAAGUGAAAGCCCGGGGCUCAACCGCGGGACUGCUUUUGAAACUGUGUAGCUAGAGUGCAGGAGAGGUAAGUGGGAUUCCUAGUGUAGCGGUGAAAUGCGUAGAUAUUAGGAGGAACACCGGUGGCGAAGGCGGCUUACUGGACUGUAACUGACGUUGAGGCUCGAAAGCGUGGGGAGCAAACAGGAUUAGAUACCCGGGUAGUC
RNAcentral lists this ribosomal RNA (440 nucleotides) under uncultured bacterium. Its description in RNAcentral is "partial 16S ribosomal RNA". It matches the Rfam family "Bacterial small subunit ribosomal RNA", at positions 338 to 795 of the family's 1533-position model. The record is from RNAcentral.